CGGCACGGGUGAGUAACACGUAUCCAACCUGCUGUCUACUCUUGGACAGCCUUCUGAAAGGAAGAUUAAUACAAGAUGGCAUCAUGAGUCCGCAUGUUCACAUGAUUAAAGGUAUUCCGGUAGACGAUGGGGAUGCGUUCCAUUAGGUAGUAGGCGGGGUAACGGCCCACCUAGUCUUCGAUGGAUAGGGGUUCUGAGAGGAAGGUCCCCCACAUUGGAACUGAGACACGGUCCAA
This 236-nucleotide ribosomal RNA is filed under the name uncultured bacterium. Its description in RNAcentral is "partial 16S ribosomal RNA". It matches the Rfam family "Bacterial small subunit ribosomal RNA", at positions 100 to 334 of the family's 1533-position model. The record is from RNAcentral.